AGUAACGGCGUGUGAAGCCGCAACAGCUCAAAUUUGAAAUCUGUCGUCUUCGACGUCCGAGUUGUAAUUUGCAGAGGGCGCUUUGGCAUUGGCAGCGGUCCAAGUGCCUUGGAACAGGACGUCACAGAGAGUGAGAAUCCCGUACGUGGUCGCUAGCCUUUACCGUGUAAAGCCCCUUCGACGAGUCGAGUUGUUUGGGA
This 200-nucleotide ribosomal RNA is filed under the name Didymella sp. RNAcentral describes it as "partial large subunit ribosomal RNA". It matches the Rfam family "Eukaryotic large subunit ribosomal RNA", at positions 82 to 279 of the family's 3401-position model. Lineage: Eukaryota; Fungi; Ascomycota; Dothideomycetes; Pleosporales; Didymellaceae. The record is from RNAcentral.